UACGUAGGGUGCUAGAGUUGUCCGGAUUUACUGGGUGUAAAGGGUGCUCAGGUGGGUUUGUAAGUCAGAGGUGAAAUCCCAAAGCUUAACUUUGGAGCUGCCUUUGAUACUGCAAGUCUAGAGUUUGAGAGAGGGUAAUGGAAUAUCUGGUGUAGCAGUGAAAUGCGUAGAUAUUGGGAGGAACACCAGUGGCGAAGGCGGCUCACUGGACCGGAAUUGACGCUGAGGCGCGAAAGCGUGGGGAGCAAACAGG
RNAcentral lists this ribosomal RNA (253 nucleotides) under uncultured bacterium. RNAcentral's name for it is "partial 16S ribosomal RNA". It matches the Rfam family "Bacterial small subunit ribosomal RNA", at positions 524 to 776 of the family's 1533-position model. The record is from RNAcentral.